RNAcentral lists this ribosomal RNA (449 nucleotides) under uncultured bacterium. Its description in RNAcentral is "partial 16S ribosomal RNA". It matches the Rfam family "Bacterial small subunit ribosomal RNA", at positions 29 to 523 of the family's 1533-position model. The record is from RNAcentral.
AAUGAACGCUGGCGGCAGGCCUAACACAUGCAAGUCGAACGGAUCCUUCGGGAUUAGUGGCGGACGGGUGAGUAACGCGUGGGAACAUACCCUUUGGUACGGAAUAGCCUCGGGAAACUGGGAGUAAUACCGUAUGUGGUCGAGAGACGAAAGAUUUAUCGCCAAAGGAUUGGGCCGCGGUGGAUUAGGUAGUUGGUGGGGUAAUGGCCUACCAAGCCGACGAUCCAUAGCUGGUUUGAGAGGAUGAUCAGCCAGACUGGAUCUGAGACACGGCCCAUAAUCCUACUGGAGACAGCAGUGGGGAAUCUGAGACAAUGGGGGAAACCCUGUUAUAGCCACGCCGCGUGAUCGAUGAAGGCCUUAGGGUUGUAAAGAUCUUUCAGGUGGGAAGAUAAUGACUGUACCACCAGAAGAAGCCCCGGCUAACUCCGUGCCAGCCGCCGCCGUAA